Long non-coding RNA from Ictalurus punctatus (channel catfish), 6430 nucleotides. Lineage: Eukaryota; Metazoa; Chordata; Actinopteri; Siluriformes; Ictaluridae. The record is from Ensembl.
UGAAGGUAAAAAGGUUUAUUACAGAAAGAUGUUUAAUACAGGAUAGAAUAAAGUAGGAUAGAAUAAUGAGAGCGCUCUGAAGCCCUUGUACUAAACCACUACUAUAUAUAUGAAACGCAGAGCAUGACAUAAUUCUGUGUACCGAUAAGAAGCAGUUUGAGGCAGUUCAAACAGGCUUUGUUUUAGGAUCUUGGACAGACAAACCUUGAACAGAAGAACAUGUUUGUGUCUCUGUAAGCAGAUAAGCAUUCUGUACUGAUCUCAGUGACAUGGCAUGGCCUUCUUAUGCGUUAUCUUCAGAUGAGAAUGAAAUAGAACAAGAACAAAACUAUUACAAAGUAAAAAUGAAUAAUUUCCCUCACAUUUCCCCCAUUUUAUCAUUACAAAAUAUGAUAACUAAAAUUAACAGAGAAAUUACUAUUCUAUGAGUACAUCAGAACUUCAGAAACCUUUCACGGUUCAACUGAAUUCAUCAUGAAACAGACAUAAUGAAACUGCUAAGGCUGUUUUUGCGGAUUUAAAGUAACCUGUCGUCAAGCAAGCUUAUCUUAGAGUGAAAUGAGAAUCGUCAUGGUCAAAGGAAUAUUUACAAUAGGUGUGAAAUGGAUGUCAAUUGGUCGUCAUCGUCAGUGUCGCUGGGAGGAUCUGAUACCCAGUCAGGUUUAGGAUACAAGUCAGAUUGGUCAUCAAAGACUCAGUCUUCGUCAACAUCAGCGUUUGGUCAUUAGUGAUUUCAACGAGUGUGAGAGACUGCUCCGAACGAGAGAAACGAUACAAGGCAAAAUGAGCAAGACAAGAAGAAUUAUUGCACCUAUUGGUAGACAGAUGGUUAAUAUCCAUGAGCCCCACCCCCCGAGUACUGAGUUCAGCCAAUCAAACCCCAUCUCGCUAGCCUGUGGAGGGUUGCGUAUCGCAGACCGCCUGUGUUCAAUGAUAGAAUAACCAUUAUGUGUCUGCAUGAUGAGGGGACGUGUGACGUUAUGUGGGUGUGUAUAUGCAGAGCUCAAUGCUUGGCUCUGGCACCCUCCUGCAGUGGCUCGCACACAUCCAUGUGGCUCUCUGGUUGACUUUCACUGCUGAAUGAGUGACAAAUAGAACCUGGAAUGGCCCAGACCACCGUGGCUUGUUCCACCUGGUCCUGCGGAAGUCCUUGAUCACGAUCUACUCUCCAGGCUUCAGAUCAUGCAGCGGACUCGUGGCUGGAGCUGGAAGUGCUGCCUUUACCUGCUUGUGGAUAGAGUGCAGAGCAGAGGACAGGGUUGCACAGUAAUUUAACAUUGCAUCAUCAUAUGCUGCAGCAUCAGGAAGAGGAACUGUCACAGGUCCAAUUCCUGUGUAUGGAGGUAUCCCAAACAGUAUCCCAAAGGUGCUAAGCCCAUCCUAAGCCUGUUUCAGAACAGCAUUUGCUCAGUCUGUUUUUUAGUGUCCCAUUUUCUCUCUCUACCGCCCCACCACUAGCUGGAUGAUAUGCACAGUGCUGCUUUAAUUCAAUACCCAAAUAUUCACCCACCUACUUAAGGGCAUGGCUCACAAAAGGUGUGCCAUGUCCUGUUUGAACGUAGGGACGUGGCCUUCUCUACCUUCAAACCUCAACCCAUGUUAUGAGUUGCACAAACUGUAAAGAUGGUCCCUGCCAUGCGUCAACUUUGAAGACAAGGACAGCUCUUGGGGCACCGCCAAACUCCGUCAACAACCAUGCAGCCUGCUUUGCGCCACACAGCCUUUUCCUUGUCCUUGUAGCCUGUGUUUGGAGGUCUGAAAGCUGUAAAGAAGGUGUGAUUUUUUUUUGUGUGUUUUGGGACCAUAGAUGCAGCUGCUUGCUUUGCUGCACUGUCCACUGAAACUUUCCUAGGAAAACAGGGUCUAAUUUGUUAGUAUGCGCAUCACAUUUGCAUACUGCAAUAGUUUUGGAGUAGGACUGCGUCCAGCAGCUCAGAGACUAGUUUGUGGUGGGCUAUGUGUGUUCCUGAACUCGUCAGGAAGUUCCUGUAUUUCCAAAUUGUCCCCAACUCAUGGACUACCUCAAAGGCAUAUCUACUGUCUGUGUAGAUAUUUACUGACUGUCCCUCAACAUGUUUUCAUGCCUCUAUGAGGGCAUACAGUUCAGCUGCUUGUGUUGAAAGGUUUGAGGGGAGACUUUCUGACAGACCGUCUCGUGUGCGGUUACUACUGCAUAGCCCACUCGAUUUUUACCUGUCUCUGGGUCACGUGACGCUGACCCAUCCACAAAGAGGAUCAGAUCUACAUUUUCCAAUAGAACACCUUUCAGGUCGACUCUAUGAGAGCAGAAUUCGUUGGUCAAUACGACACAGUCAUGUGGUUCUCCGUCUCCCUCUGUUGGAAGAAGAGUAGCAGGGUUAAGGACAGUACAUUGUUUCAUAGUGACUUUCUGCAUGUCUAGUAGUAUAGUGUUAUGGUGCAGCCACCAUUGAGUGGACAGGUGUGAGGUUUUCUGUUCAAGUAGGAGUAACAACACCUCAUGUGGAACCAAGAGGUUAAAUUCUGUGUAACCUACCAGAUCUCUGGAUGCCAUCACAGCUUUCUCAGCUGCUGCUACUGAACAUACCCAUGGGGGAAACUCUGUAGCAACUGGAUCCAACUUACCUGAGAAUGAGCUGUCCAACCUGUCACAUAUGCCAUCUCUCUGAGCGGUGCUUCUAGAAUGGUAUAGUUUAGAAUGAAAGUUCUGCGAUACAAACACAUACCUAGGAUAGAGAGAACCUGUUUCUUCAUCCGAGGCUUGGGAAUCUUUUGGAUUGCAGAUACUCUUUCAGUUGAGAGUUUCUUUCCCUUUGCAGAAAUGUCAUGCCUUAGAAAUCUCACUUCUUGUCGUACAUACUGUAAUUUGGAGAGACUGGCUUUGUGUCCUUCUUUGGCAAGAUGCUGCAACAAUUUAAUGGUGUCAGUUUCACACUGUGCCCUGGAGAAAGUGGUAGAGGUGCUAAGCUGUCCUUUAGCAUUUGGUUGUAUAUCGUUAGUGACUCUCCAUCCAUCCAUCCAUCCAUCCAUCCAUCUUCUAUACUGCUUAUCCUUCCUUCAUGGUCACGGGGAAACCUAGAACCUAUCCCAGGGAGCAUGGGGCACAAGGCGGGGUACACCUUGGACAGGGUGCCAAUCCAUCGCAGGGCACAAUCACAUACACAUUCACAAACCCAUUCAUACACUACGGAUACUUUGGACAUGCCAAUCAGCCUACCAUGCAUGUCUUUGGACUGGGGGAGGAAACCAGAGUACCCGGAGGAAACCCUGGCAGCACGGGGAGAACAUGCAAACUCCGCACACACGGGGCCACGGUGGGAAUGUUAGUGACUCUCAAUUCCCUUAAACACAAGCGAGUGAAAGUGUAAGGACAUCCAUCAAAUAUGAAUGCAAACUGAAACUGUAUGUCUUUAUCAAGAGAUAUACUUUUUAAAAAUGCAUUAGCUAAAUCUACGACUGAAAACGAUUCGCUAUUUGCUGGAACCUGGCUUAAUAUAGUGUAAGAAUUUGGCAUGUCUGGAGCUCUCAGUUUGACUGCUGCAUUAACUGCUUGCAAAUCUUGUACAAAUCUCCAUUCAUCUGGUUGUGGGGGUUUUCUUGCCUUCUUUACCGGAUAUAUUGGAGUGCGCACUGACAAAUCAAGGCAGGGAACAAUGACCCCUACCUUCAAUAAUGAAUUGAAAUCUGGUCCAAUGCCCUCAAUAGCUUCUGAUUUAAGAGGGUAUGGAGAUUGUCUGGGCCUAAAGUCAGAUUUGGGAGUGAUCACGACUGGUGGUGCACUUUUAAAUCAGGCCUACGUCAUGUUUCCCUUGGGCCCACAGCCCGAGAGGCACCUUCUUCAAUUGUGGGUGUGUCUCUAGGGGUGUGGGGCUCGUUCCAAGGUUCAGAAACAUUCUAUUUUCAUGACAAACCUCCCGGUUAACCUUGCACAUUUCCAGAAAGAAUUUUUUUUAAAUAAAUUCCCAGCGUCAGGCUGUACCACAUGUUGGAGGUGGGCUUCUGUUCCCAAUGUGUAAUUUUCCCACUCUCAUAUAAUCUGACCCACAGCCCUACGUCUUUCUACUGUUUGUUCUUUAUUUUGGUUAAUGAGACGUGAGGCGCUGAUUCUGGGACAAAAAAUGCACGCAACUGCAUGUCACUCAAUUUGACUGGACAUGCACAAAAUUUUUCCAGCAACAUAGGUACAGCUCUUCGCUUUCUGGGAAAUCCAUAAACCAUUCUUUCUCAAAAUUAAAGUCUCUUUCUUCAUGCACUUGCGCUGUGCAAUGAAGGGCAGAGGACAGCAUAAAAUCUACAUAGUUGUCCUUCAUCUUAUCAUGUGCCAACGUCAACAAACGAGCACAUGCUCUAGGCUUGUUAUGCUUGGACCAUUGAUAAACACAGAGCUCUGUUUCUUUAACAAACAGAGUUACAAUGAUGAGUCAUCAUUUCUUCUUACUCCCUGAGGUGAGGACAUAAAAUUUAAGUGUAAAACACACAUUAAGUCUCUGCCCAGUAGUUGUCUGGACAUGAAGACAAAAUUAGGUCUAAUACUGUGCAGUGACCGUGAACUCGUUAUCGGGGUUUCUUUUAAUUCGCAGUGUUUUAUUACUGAAUACGUUGCUCCCGAUUCUACCAGAAAUGUGACACUUUGCCCAAACCUUAAGAAUGUAAAAGUGUUUACCUGUGAGGGCGAGUCCACAUACAGCAAUUUGGUAGGACUUACAGUUUUCUCUUUCCUUCUUUAAAAUAAUAAUAAUAAUAAUUAUAUAUAUAUAUAUAUAUAUAUAUAUAUAUAUAUAUAUAUAUAUAUAUAUAUAGAUAGAUAGAUAUAUAUAUAUAGAUAUAUAUAUAUUUAAAUCUCAGUAGAAUUUACUUGUGGGUUAAAUUUAAUAAAUAUAUCACGUACCGCUGAUAUGAUGGAAUGAGUCAAUGGGGCCUGACACGUAAUAAUAACCCACCGCAAAAAUACUGCUCCUCUUGCGCUUCUUAAUAAGUACUCUCUCUACUUAUUCAUUGCUCGAACCGGACUCUUUCCGUUAGCAACUAUUUUUUCACCGUUAUUAUCUCUCUCUCUGUAUAUAUACCCGUCUGUAUAUAUCUUAGUUUUGAAGCUGUGAUCUAAGAAACACUGAUAUUUCUGCCGUCACAGAGGCAAAGUUCCUGAACUUCUUAUAAGAAAUCACUCCAUGUAAUACUUCUCUCUCAAUGUAAUACACACAUUUCUUAUAUCAUUGACUCCCUUCCACACAGACAGCAAUACACAAUGACAUCAUAAAAUUCUAAUUCUAAAUCAUUGACGCCCUUCCACACAGACAGCAAUACACAAUGACAUCAUAAAAUUCUAAUUCUAAAUCAUUGACGCCCUUCCAUAGAGACAGCAAUACACUAUGACAUCAUAAAAUUCUAAUUCUAAAUCAUUGACUCCCUUCCAUAGAGACAGCAAUACACAAUGACUUCAUAAAAUUCUAAUUCUAAUUCUAAAUACUUGAUGAUUCCUACCAGUCAGGGGUAAUGCGAUAUUUCGCUCGGCACAAUAAAGGACAAAUCGCCUUUGCGUCAACAUGGACUUCAGGAUGAAACUUUUCCACGAGCGUCCUCCGGUUUGCUUGUUGUCCAGUAAAGCUGAAAGACUCACGCAGCCCAGCCAGGAGAAGCCAAAUUGUCGUGGAAUUAGACAACACUUGCAGACUCAUCCUCUGAAGAAAGAUGCUCGCCAGCAGGGGGCGGCGUAGGACAAUAAGCAGAACCUCCAAGCUGUUCAACAUGGCCACAGGAUGGCACACAGCCCAACGCGGGAAACUGGAUCGCCACGUGAAACGCGCCAAUCACGGCAGUUGAAGCACGCGGGUUUUCGAUGUGUAACGAAUAUCGCAGAUAUCGAAAAUAAACUGACACGAAUAUAACAAUAUUACUAAUUUCAUUAAACAUAUUGCCAUAAAAUGUGGUAGAAAACAACAGUCAAGUGACAACUUUUUAAUCGCAGCAUCUAAAGUUGGAACCUUCAUUAAAUGUUUGCAUAAUAGAAUAAAGACUCGUUAUGGUUUAAAUGAGUCAUUGCACAAAAACAAAAAUGCUGUUUUGACGUUUUCUACAUGGCUGUCAUGACAAUGUCGCCAUGUUUGUGCUCGCGCUCUUUUCCUCCCUCCUCCUCCUCCUCGUCCCUCCCUCAGUCUGACUGUAGUGUGCUUCGCGCGCGCUUUUCUCCUCAGCCCCUCCCUCGUCUUUGAGGGGGAAAUGGGCGUGGCCAGAGAGUAUGCUUCAGAAAAUUCUAGAGCAGAAAAAAAUGGAGGACUGUAUACUCACCAUUUUACAUAUGAUACAAUUCAGCUUUUCACUUUAUAUAUAUUCUUCAGCCCCUAUGUUUAGGACUAUUUUGUUGUUUUCUUAUGCAUGUAAAUUCACAUACUCAACUGCACUUAAAAAAAACAAAAAAACAACCUUUUUUUUUUUGCUUUUUGUUGUUCUUUUU